RNAcentral lists this ribosomal RNA (497 nucleotides) under uncultured bacterium. RNAcentral's name for it is "partial 16S ribosomal RNA". It matches the Rfam family "Bacterial small subunit ribosomal RNA", at positions 28 to 507 of the family's 1533-position model. The record is from RNAcentral.
GAUGAACGCUGGCGGCGUGCCUAAUACAUGCAAGUCGAGCGAACAGAUAAGGAGCUUGCUCCUUUGACGUUAGCGGCGGACGGGUGAGUAACACGUGGGUAACCUACCUAUAAGACUGGAAUAACUCCGGGAAACCGGGGCUAAUGCCGGAUAACAUUUAGAACCGCAUGGUUCUAAAGUGAAAGAUGGUUUUGCUAUCACUUAUAGAUGGACCCGCGCCGUAUUAGCUAGUUGGUAAGGUAACGGCUUACCAAGGCAACGAUACGUAGCCGACCUGAGAGAGUGAUCGGCGACACUGGAACUGAGACACGGUCCAGACUCCUACGGGAGGCAGCAGUAGGGAAUCGGCCGCAAUGGGCGAAAGCCUGACGGAGCAAGGCCGCGUGAGUGAUGAAGGUCUUCGGAUCGUAAAACUCUGUUAUUAGGGAAGAACAAAUGUGUAAGUAACUGUGCACGUCUUGACGGUACCUAAUCAGAAAGCCACGGCUAACUACGUG